Molecule: ribosomal RNA, 196 nt
Filed under: uncultured bacterium
Lineage: Bacteria
Description: partial 16S ribosomal RNA
Rfam family: Bacterial small subunit ribosomal RNA
Source: RNAcentral
ACUCCUACGGGAGGCAGCAGUUCGAGAAUCUUCCGCAAUGGGCGAAAGCCUGACGGGGCGACGCCGCGUGCAGGAUGAAGGCCUUCGGGUUGUAAACUGCUGUUACACUUUACCAACGCUCGGAAGUUAAUAGCUCUCCGAGACGAGCAAGGUGGGAGAAAGCACAGGCUAACUCCGUGCCAGCAGCCGCGGUAAU